Molecule: ribosomal RNA, 426 nt
Filed under: uncultured bacterium
Lineage: Bacteria
Description: bacterial SSU rRNA
Rfam family: Bacterial small subunit ribosomal RNA
Source: RNAcentral
UGGGGAAUUGUUCGCAAUGGGCGCAAGCCUGACGACGCAACGCCGCGUGGAGGAUGAAGGUCUUCGGAUUGUAAACUCCUGUUGAUCGGGACGAAAAGCUUCGACCUAACACGUCGGAGACUGACGGUACCGGUUGAGGAAGCCACGGCUAACUCUGUGCCAGCAGCCGCGGUAAUACAGAGGUGGCAAGCGUUGUUCGGAAUUACUGGGCGUAAAGGGCGCGUAGGCGGCCUUCUAAGUCGGACGUGAAAGCCCCAGGCUUAACCUGGGAACUGCGUCCGAUACUGGGAGGCUUGGAUUCGGGAGAGGGAUGUGGAAUUCCAGGUGUAGCGGUGAAAUGCGUAGAUAUCUGGAGGAACACCGGUGGCGAAGGCGGCAUCCUGGACCGAGAUCGACGCUGAGGCGCGAAAGCUAGGGGAGCAAACG